UUUAGACGAGGAUAGAGGAAUGGACUUGAGCAGCAUCAAAACACCUGCUAAAAUUAAUGUAAUUGGUCGACCCAGUGAAUUUUUGAAAACAACGCCGAAUGUGAAGAGAACCUUGAAAAAAUCAGCGUCAAAUUGAACUUAUGUCCAGCUGUCAUCGUUUUCAGGACCACGUCAGACAAACAAUAUUUGCGUAUCAUUACAGCUAGUGUUGAAUGAUGAUCUUAAUCCAGCUGAAAAAUCAAGACUACAGAGUUAUAAAAAUGAAGCCGUGGGUAGCGUCAUUCAACGUUAAUAACAGUAUAAAUAAAUAGAAAAUAAUAUCGAGCCGGUCAUGAUCCCUGUUGUCAGUACUUUACCUGAUAGCCAAGCAGCUCAAUCGAGCAAUGUGGAUCAUUUAUCAGAUAAUAUGACGCUUCUUCUCUACCAAAAACUGUCGAUGGAAAAAUCAAUUAUGCUGGCAUUAUUAGUAUGAUUCCAUCAUUAUUGAAGAAGAUUUCGACAGUUUGCUAUCCAAACUACAGGCAAACAUUUUAUUGAACACACAAAGAAGAACAAAAGAAGAAGUACUCCUCAUAUUUAUUUUU
This is a long non-coding RNA of Cotesia glomerata, 584 nucleotides long. RefSeq lists it as uncharacterized. The transcript has 5 exons. The record is from RefSeq and is a predicted model, not a curated record. Lineage: Eukaryota; Metazoa; Arthropoda; Insecta; Hymenoptera; Braconidae.